RNAcentral lists this long non-coding RNA (505 nucleotides) under Laticauda laticaudata (blue-ringed sea krait). RNAcentral's name for it is "lncRNA (ENSLLTG00000011066.1)". The record is from RNAcentral. Lineage: Eukaryota; Metazoa; Chordata; Lepidosauria; Squamata; Elapidae.
UGUCAAAAAAGAGAAGUGGCCACAGGGGGGGAUUCAGAGGGAACAAGGUGGCAGGAAAAGCUGGAGCCUAAUUGAUUUGACGUCCCCAACACCACCGCCAGUGACAAUAAUAAUUAUUUGCAAGCUCUGGCUGAGGGAACCAGUGGCAGAGAGGAAGCAGCCGCGAAUCAUGGCCCCCAAGCAUGGCAGCCAGCAGCAGCCAUGUGGCUGACAAUGAGGGUGGACUCUCUCACAGCACCCUCUCUUCAUGUGCCUCCACUUUGCCAUCCAGGCCUCCUUACAGCCAGCAGUCAGGUGACCCUUCCUUUCCCUUUGAAGAUCCCUGGCAAUCACCUGGAAUUCUUUCACCUGCCUCCUUGCCAGCAAUAGAGACUUGGAGAUGUCCCUCUUUGACCUCUGGAAACUGGAAGAUGACCUUGGUCCUGCACAGCUGGACAGAUGGGAACCAUAUCAACUCUUUUCCAAUUCUCUGGUAGUUCCCCGGUGCUUCAGGAUUUUGACAGAU